RNAcentral lists this unclassified non-coding RNA (325 nucleotides) under soil metagenome. RNAcentral describes it as "partial contains 5.8S ribosomal RNA, internal transcribed spacer 2, and large subunit ribosomal RNA". The stretch from base 1 to 120 matches the Rfam family "5.8S ribosomal RNA", at positions 35 to 154 of the family's 154-position model. The record is from RNAcentral.
GAUGAAGAACGCAGCGAAAUGCGAUAAGUAAUGCGAAUUGCAGAAUUCAGUGAGUCAUCGAAUCUUUGAACGCACAUUGCGCCAUGUGGUAUUCCGCAGGGCAUGCCUGUUCGAGCGUCAUUUCAACCCUCAAGCCCCGCUUGGUGUUGGGCCCCGCCCGCCGUGGCCGGCCCUAAAGACAGUGGCGGCGCCGCCUGGCCCUCAGCGUAGUACAGCUCUCGCUCCAGGGUCCGGCGGCCGCCUGCCAGAACCCCCCCAACUCUGUGGUUGACCUCGGAUCAGGUAGGGAUACCCGCUGAACUUAAGCAUAUCAAUAAGCGGAGGA